UACGAAGGGGGCUAGCGUUGUUCGGAAUUACUGGGCGUAAAGCGCACGUAGGCGGAUUUGUAAGUCAGGGGUGAAAUCCCGGGGCUCAACCUCGGAACUGCCUUUGAUACUGCAAAUCUCGAGUCCGGAAGAGGUGAGUGGAAUUCCUAGUGUAGAGGUGAAAUUCGUAGAUAUUAGGAAGAACACCAGUGGCGAAGGCGGCUCACUGGUCCGGUACUGACGCUGAGGCGCGAAAGCGUGGGGAGCAAACAGG
RNAcentral lists this ribosomal RNA (253 nucleotides) under uncultured bacterium. Its description in RNAcentral is "partial 16S ribosomal RNA". It matches the Rfam family "Bacterial small subunit ribosomal RNA", at positions 524 to 776 of the family's 1533-position model. The record is from RNAcentral.